This 532-nucleotide ribosomal RNA is filed under the name uncultured bacterium. Its description in RNAcentral is "bacterial SSU rRNA". It matches the Rfam family "Bacterial small subunit ribosomal RNA", at positions 777 to 1307 of the family's 1533-position model. The record is from RNAcentral.
AAUAGAUACCCGGGUAGUCCAUGCCGUAAACGUUGGGCACUAGGUGUGGGGCUCAUUCCACGAGUUCCGUGCCGCAGCAAGCGCAUUAAGUGCCCCGCCUGGGGAGUACGGCCGCAAGGCUAAAACUCAAAGAAAUUGACGGGGGCCCGCACAAGCGGCGGAGCAUGCGGAUUAAUUCGAUGCAACGCGAAGAACCUUACCAAGGCUUGACAUACACCGGAAAAGUGCAGAGAUGUGCUCCCCGCAAGGUCGGUGUACAGGUGGUGCAUGGUUGUCGCCAGCUCGUGUCGUGAGAUGUUGGGUUAAGUCCCGCAACGAGCGCAACCCUCGUCCCAUGUUGCCAGCGGGUUAUGCCGGGGACGUCAUGGGAGACUGGCCGGGGUCAACUCGGAGGAAGGUGGGGAUGACGUCAAAUCAUCAUGCCCCUUAUGUCUUGGGCUUCACGCAUGCUACAAUGGCCGGUACAAAGGGCUGCGAUACCGCAAGGUGGAGCGAAUCCCAAAAAGCCGGUCUCAGUUCGGAUUGGGGUCUG